CUUGGUCAUUUAGAGGAAGUAAAAGUCGUAACAAGGUUUCCGUAGGUGAGCCUGCGGAAGGAUCAUUAAAGAACGCCCCGUUUUUUGAAAUGGGUAAUUCCCAAACCGUGUCUAUAUAUACCUUUGUUGCUUUGGCAGGUCGCCUUCUAGGCGUCGGCUCCGGCUGACUGCGCCUGCCAGAGGACCCAAACUCGUUUUGUUUAGUGUCUUCUGAGUACUAUAUAAUAGUUAAAACUUUCAACAACGGAUCUCUUGGUUCUGGCAUCGAUGAAGAACGCAGCGAAAUGCGAUAAGUAAUGUGAAUUGCAGAAUUCAGUGAAUCAUCGAAUCUUUGAACGCACAUUGCGCCCGGUGGUAUUCCGCCGGGCAUGCCUGUUCGAGCGUCAUUAGUCCAAAUCACGCCUGGCGUGGUCUUGGGGCCUGCCUCUGGGCAGCCCUUAAACGCAGUGGCGGCGCCGUCUGGCUCUAAGCGUAGUAAUUCUUCUCGCUAUAGGGUCCUCCGGAUGCUUGCCAGCAACCCCCAAUACUUUAGGUUGACCUCGGAUCAGGUAGGGAUACCCGCUGAACUUAAGCAUAUCAAUAAGCGGAGGA
Molecule: ribosomal RNA, 591 nt
Filed under: uncultured Chloridium
Lineage: Eukaryota; Fungi; Ascomycota; Sordariomycetes; Chaetosphaeriales; Chaetosphaeriaceae
Description: eukaryotic LSU rRNA
Rfam family: 5.8S ribosomal RNA (bases 233-386)
Source: RNAcentral